UAGUUACAUUUUUAGUUCAGGUGUACCACCAAAUUUUGAAAAGUAUAUAAGUGUACCGCAAGUGAAAAAAGGUUGUGGAACACUGAUAAAGAUGUAUGCUUU
Molecule: long non-coding RNA, 102 nt
Organism: Octopus sinensis (East Asian common octopus)
Lineage: Eukaryota; Metazoa; Mollusca; Cephalopoda; Octopoda; Octopodidae
Exons: 3
Source: RefSeq, a predicted model, not a curated record